GAUGAACGCUGGCGGCGUGCCUAAUACAUGCAAGUCGAGCGAAGAGACGAGAGUGCUUUCGCUCUCUGGCGUGAGCGGCGGGCGGGUGAGACGCACGUGGCUUACCUACCUAUAUGGCAUGGAUCACGGCGGGGAACCGGAACUAAUGCCGGAUAAUGGUUUGCGUCUGAUGGCGGGAGAGUGAGGGACGGUUCGGGUGUGACGGAUAGGUGGACCCUCGGGGUAUUAGCGGGGUGGUGGGGUAACGGCGCACCAAGGCAACGAUGCAUAGCCGAGCUGAGAGGGUGAUCGGCCAAACUGGGACUGUGACACGGACCAGCGUCCUACGGGAGGACGCGGUAGGGAAUCUUGCACAAUGGCCGAAAGUCUGCAGGAGCAAUGCCGCGUGAGUGAAGAAGGUUUUCGGGUCGUAAAACUCUGUUGUUAGGGAAGAAAAAGUACGUCAGUAACUGAAGGUAUCUUGACGGUACCUUAUAAGAAAGCGCCGGCUAACUACGUG
RNAcentral lists this ribosomal RNA (499 nucleotides) under uncultured bacterium. RNAcentral describes it as "partial 16S ribosomal RNA". It matches the Rfam family "Bacterial small subunit ribosomal RNA", at positions 28 to 507 of the family's 1533-position model. The record is from RNAcentral.